RNAcentral lists this ribosomal RNA (253 nucleotides) under uncultured bacterium. RNAcentral describes it as "partial 16S ribosomal RNA". It matches the Rfam family "Bacterial small subunit ribosomal RNA", at positions 524 to 776 of the family's 1533-position model. The record is from RNAcentral.
UACGAAGGGGGCUAGCGUUGCUCGGAAUUACUGGGCGUAAAGGGCGCGUAGGCGGACAGUUUAGUCGGGGGUGAAAGCCCAGGGCUCAACCCUGGAAUAGCCUUCGAUACUGGGUAUCUUGAGUUCGGGAGAGGUGAGUGGAACUCCGAGUGUAGAGGUGAAAUUCGUAGAUAUUCGGAAGAACACCAGUGGCGAAGGCGACUCACUGGCCCGAUACUGACGCUGAGGCGCGAAAGCGUGGGGAGCAAACAGG